This is a long non-coding RNA of Austrofundulus limnaeus, 941 nucleotides long. RefSeq lists it as uncharacterized. The record is from RefSeq and is a predicted model, not a curated record. The transcript is spliced from 4 exons. NCBI's taxonomy places the organism in Eukaryota, Metazoa, Chordata, Actinopteri, Cyprinodontiformes, Rivulidae.
UAGACCUCAGACCUCUCGUCUCCUCAAUGCAGCAUGUUGCUCCAGCGCUGCAGAGACACCUCGCACUCUGUCACACAGUGCUCGUGCUGACUGCUCCCUUACUUUCACUUCACACCAGGUGCUCCCUAAGACAGGCUCAGGUCUUCUCGACUCCUCCCCUUCAGGACCUUAAAAGGAAGCACACCUGAUAGAAGGCACCUGCCAGCCUAAUCAGCUGUAAGCAGGAGGCGCAGCAGGGCCGUCACAGAAUUAAAACAAUGCAGAGGUAAAAGGUGAAAAUGUGUGAAUUAAGGUGUCAGAGGAGCUGCGACAUUUUGUCCAACAAAAGCAACAGUAACACAGCGACCCUGGGGCGUCUGUCCGUCCUGCUGUGAUGUUAAAUACGUGAUGUUCAUCAGCUGUGAAACCAUCUGCAGUCCAGAGCUGAUGCCAGACGACCCUGACCCACAGACCCCUCCCCGACAAGAGACAUUUCAACAGAACGACAGCAAAUGUCAUGCCUGAGUACUCGCGCCGGGCGUGCCCACCCUCGCCAGUGUGGAUGUUAUAAAACUUCACUUUUUGAAGUCCAUAUUUCUCACACGUGCGGGGCUGUGAUGGGCUGAUUUCUGUGUCAACCGGAGGAGCAGAGAGAGCAAAGACACGGUGGCCUCUGACAUGACAUCAUCUUUAUCUGCUCCUUGAAGCUGUCUCUCUCCAUCCAUCUGCUGUUACCAUGACUCCCGCUGUCGUCGCUGCUUCCUACGGCACAAGCUGGCACCAAGCCUUGGAAGACACUCUUUUUAAUUGAGCUUAUAUUUGUGACCAUCUCCUCUCUCAGAGGACCUGUUGGAAAAUGGUCAAGACUAAGCCAGCUCCAGGUUAUGAGCAAUCUUUAAUGUUUUUUAAAUAUCUGUUGAUUUCUAAGUUGCUAUCAAUUAAAGAAAUUUUGUUCUAUUUUA